AGCUCAGUAACACGUGGAUAACCUGCCCUUAGGUUUGGCAUAACUCCGGGAAACUGGAGAUAAUUCCGAAUAGGUCAAAUAUGCUGGAAUGCUUUUUGGCCAAAAGACCUCGGUUGCCUAAGGAUGGAUCUGCGGUCUAUCAGGUAGUAGUGGGUGUAACGUACCUACUAGCCUACGACGGAUAUGGGUUGUGAGAGCAAGAGCCCAGAGAUGGAUUCUGAGACAUGAAUCCAGGCCCUACGGGGCGCAGCAGGCGCGAAAACUUUACAAUGCGGGAAACCGCGAUAAGGGGACACCGAGUGCCAGCAUUUAUGUUGGCUGUCCACAUGUGUAAACGGCAUGUGUUAGCAAGGGCCGGGCAGACCGGUGCCAGCCGCCGCGGUAACACCGGCGGCCCGAGUGGUAAUCACUUUUAUUGGGUCUAAAGGGUCCGUAGCCGGUUUGAUCAGUUCUUCGGGAAAUCUGACAGCUCAACUGUUAGGCUUCCGGGGAAUACUGUCAGACUUGGGACCGGGAGAGGUAAGAGGUACUACAGGGGUAGGAGUGAAAUCUUGUAAUCCCUGUGGGACC
This 570-nucleotide ribosomal RNA is filed under the name uncultured archaeon. Its description in RNAcentral is "bacterial SSU rRNA". It matches the Rfam family "Archaeal small subunit ribosomal RNA", at positions 87 to 658 of the family's 1478-position model. The record is from RNAcentral.